UUCGCCUUUGCAGUGUAGCCCAAGUCGGUCAGCACCAGAGGACCUCAGCAGCCAUGUCGAAGCCCCAUAGGGAAGCCGGGACUGCCUUCACUCAGACCCAGCAGCUACAUGCCAUGUAGCUGACACAUUCCUGGAGCACAUGUGCCGCCUGGACAUUCACACACCACCCAUCACGGCCUGGAACACUGGCAUCAUCUCUACCAAUAGCCCAGCUUCCCGAUCGGUGGAGAACUUGAAGGAGAUGAUUAAGUCUGGAAUGAAUGUGGCUUGUCUGAACUUCUCUCAUGGAACUCAUGAGUACCACGUGGAGAGCAUCAAGAACGUGCACACAGCCACGGAAAUUUUUGCUUCUGACCCCAUCCUCUACCGGCACGUUGCUUUGGCUCUGGAUACUAAAGGACCUGAGAUCCGAACGGGGCUCAUCAAGGACAGCAGCACCGCGGAGGUGGGGCUGAAGAUGGGAGCCACUCUCAAAAUCAUGCUGGAUAAUGCCUACAUGAAAAAGUGUGAUGAGAACAUCCUGUGGCUGGACUACAAGAACAUCUGCAAGGUGACGGAAGUGGGCAGCAAGAUCUACGUGGAUGAUGGGCUUAUUUCUCUCCAGGUAAAGCAGAAAGGUGCUGACUUCCUGGUGACGGAGGUGGAAAAUGGUGGUUCCUUGGGCAGCAAGAAGGGUGUGAACCUUCCUGGGGCUGCUGUGGACCUGCCUGCUGUGUCAGAAAAGGACAUCCAGGACCCGAAGUUUGGGGUCGAGCAGGAUGUCGAUAUGGUGUUUAUGUCGUUCAUCCACAAGGCAUCUGAUGUCCAUGAAGUUAGGAAGGCCCUGGGAGAGAAGGGAAAGAACAUCAAGGUAAUCAGCAAAAUUGAGAAUCAUUCUGAGGUUUGAUGAAAUCCUAGAGGCCAGUGAUGGGAUCAUGGUGGCUGGCGGUGAUCUAGGCAUUGAGAUUCCUGCAGAGAAGGUCUUUCUUGCUCAGAAGAUGACGAUUGGGUGGUGCAGCGGAGCUGGGAAGUCUGUCAUUAACAGUGAUGUGGCCAAUGCAGUCCUGAAUGCAGCCAACUGCAUCAUGCUGUCUGGAGAAACAGCCAAAGGGGACUAUCUGGAGGCUGGGCACAAGCAGCACCUGAUUGCCCAUGAGGCAGAGGCCGCCAUCUACCACUUGCAAUUAUUUGAGGAACUCUCCCCGCCUGGCGACCAUUACCAGCGACCCCACGAAGCCACCACCGUGGGUGCCAACGAGACCUCCUUCAAGUGCUGCAAUGGGGCCAUAAUCGUCCUCACCAAGUCUGGCAGGUCUGCUCACCAGGUGGCCAGAUACUGCCCACGUGCCCCCAUCAUUGCUGUGACACAGAAUCCCCAGACAGCUGGUCAGGCCCACCUGCACCAUGGCAUCUUCCCUGUGCUGUGCCAGGACCCAGUCCAGGAGGCCAGGGCUGAGGAUGUGGACCGCUGGGUGAACUUGGCCAUGAAUGUUGACAACGCCGGAAGCUUCUUUAAGAAGGGAGAUUGAGAUGUGGCCAUUGGUCUGAUUGGGUGGCGCCCUGGCUCUGGCUUCACCAACACCGUGCGUGUUGUUUCUGUGUGGUGA
Mandrillus leucophaeus (drill) is the source of this 1586-nucleotide RNA transcript. It is a transcript of the gene named pyruvate kinase PKM pseudogene, with no coding region annotated. The record is from RefSeq and is a predicted model, not a curated record. NCBI's taxonomy places the organism in Eukaryota, Metazoa, Chordata, Mammalia, Primates, Cercopithecidae. The transcript has 2 exons.